AAAAAUCAAGCCCAUACCCGAAAAUCCAAAACCAAAAAGGAAAUAUCAGUACACUAAAAAGAAAAACCUAGCCCCAUCAUAUCCACACACCCUAAAGUUCCAUCUCCGGCGAGGUAACCUGUUCCAGUGAAAUCUCAACGGUAAAGCACAAGUGAGGAUACACAUUCGCCAUGAGCUUGAGUGAAUGCAUUUGGAUGCGCGAAACCUCUCACAGACAUCAUGAAUUCGAGCUCAAUGAAGACUUCUUCAGCUCAUUGCAAGUAUAUCAUCUCUAAAUGCUUAUGUUAGAUCAAUGGCGUUCCUAUCAACAACAAUAUUUGACGAUUUUCUCACCCUUUUCCUCCCUUUCAGCAGAAUGACCUCAACGAGCUACCACUGCUGAAAAGUCAUAAACGAGUGAUAAACCUUCUCCAAGGCAGAAUCUUCUUAGGAGAUGUAUUCCUUUCAGCAAUAGAGGCAGAUACUGGAAGCCUCUCAUAUUUACUUUCCUCUCCCUGCAUAUUUACUGGCUCUUUAUCAGCUGGAAUUGGAUAUGACAUUACUUCUCCUGAGUAUGCAGACAUUUGAAAUUGACAUUCUUCUACUAAUUGCAAAGGUUCCUGGAUGAAGAGCUCUACAUUAUUCCUCAUGAUGACCUUGCAAUUUACAAGUAUUACAGUACUUGGGCAAUUUGGCAAGUAAAUCAAUCAGCAUCUUCACUUUCGCACAACUUGGCCUAGUCUUAUUGAUGCUAGCCAUGUCCAACUGCAAUGGUUUUCCUACCGCUGCUGCCAAUGAGAAUAAUGAUUCCUUUACAAAGAAUGUUGGUAAUAGGCCUGGAAAAGAAAUCCAAGCUACCGCUUGAGUGGUUUCCUCUGUAGACUUGAAGGUUGCAUCAUAGAUGAGUGGCCUUAUUUGAUAAAAAUAUCCCUCUUUAUCCAAAAUGUAAUACAUUGUUUUACACAGGAUGUUCACAAAAUCUUCCAUAUGACUCAAUCUAAUCAAGACAUGCCUAUUGCGGAGCAAUCCAAUUUUUCAUUCACCCUUAAUGUUACAUUGUUUGGGAAUUUGUGAACGUAAUUCCUCUAGUGAAGGCCAUCCAUAGGAGAAUUUUCCAAUAACGGCGUAUUGAAGAUUCUCUAUGAUAUUCAUUUUAUGUACCUCCUCUUCGGUCCAUGUAAUUCUAGGAAUACCUUCUACAUAUUUGAGCUGUUUCA
This is a long non-coding RNA of Capsicum annuum, 1196 nucleotides long. RefSeq lists it as uncharacterized. The record is from RefSeq and is a predicted model, not a curated record. Lineage: Eukaryota; Viridiplantae; Streptophyta; Magnoliopsida; Solanales; Solanaceae. The transcript has 4 exons.